UUCAGUGCAUCGGAGGGUCAAUCUCCUGAUCUGUAAACCUGAAGGGGGCUUCACUCCUGGAAAGCAUAGCACAUUUUAGAGCCUGGUUGUCUUAUAUUGCACUUUCCUAGUCUGUAUGUGGCAUUUUCGUACUGCAAUAAGAUAAUGUUUUUAGAGGCCUUGGACCAGCUUGUCAUUGUGGAACUUGUCUGUCAUACUGGGUAGGGCUUAAGAUGAAGGCCCAGUUAAAGUGUAGGCAAUGGAGCUUGAUUGGACCCGCAAUUGCUGUGCAGAUCUGCUAUUCUCGGUGGGUUGUGGGGCUGCCUUAUACUCUUGUGUAUGUGGGGAAUUUGCAGAAGUGUUAUGUGCCAUCUUAUGAGCAGAAGAUAGGGAUGAGUUGCAAUUUGGCACUAUACCCCCAGUUGAAUUAAAAACCCUCUGCCCCUUUGUGCAUGGGAGGAGGAAAGAGGGAGUUACCAAAGGAGAAGACAGAGUGGAGUGAGAAAAGAUAGAGGGAUAAGUGAAAAAGAAAAAGAAAGACAGGUGGAAGGAACAGAGAGAAAUAGAAGAAAAGAAAGAGAGGGACAAAGAAGAAAGAGAAAAAGAAAGAAAAAAAAAGAAAGCGAGA
This is a long non-coding RNA of Spea bombifrons (plains spadefoot toad), 607 nucleotides long. RefSeq lists it as uncharacterized. The record is from RefSeq and is a predicted model, not a curated record. NCBI's taxonomy places the organism in Eukaryota, Metazoa, Chordata, Amphibia, Anura, Pelobatidae. The transcript is spliced from 2 exons.